UCUUGCCCAACUCCCUGCUGUGCUCAGAGUUGGUCUGAGAGUCAGCAGGAGAAAACAAAGCUGAAAACCACUACAGUCCCUUGUAGCUGAGCUGACAAGCUUGGCUGAAACUGGAGCAGGGUGUUCAGAGACAGACAAUGUACAAGCAGAGCAAAGUCUACUCAAAUGUACAGCUAGUGUUGAAAUGAGGAUGUAAGAAAGACCGAAGACAUAAGAAGCGUGAGAGUGGUGCUCCACGUGUUGGGAGAUGAUAAAGGGAGGCAUGGCUUUUCAAGGAAAUGUGAAGAGCAAAACCAAUCUCCUGCCUCAGGAAGAAAACGGAAACAGAAGGAUGGUCUAUUCCUUUAAUGAGAAAUAAACCAAGGAAACAACAGUUGAACAGUCAUCUGAAAGAAGUAAGAGAAAGGACACAGAUCCUCACAGACCUCUUCUGGACCUCCCCCAACAUAUUGGAUUUAAACGUGCAAUCAGAUUCAACUUCAGUUGAAAAAUGUGGGUUAUUGAAUCCUCGUAAGGAGCCUAUUUAAGUUGGAAAGUCAGAGAAGUUGCUGCAGAGUGGCAGCUACAUGUUACAGGGAAAAAAGAGAACAGGCUUAUGGAGACUGAUGCCCAGUGUUACUGUUCAUUCACAUCCACAGCACAACAAUGAAGGGAAGAGACUGGAAGGACACAGCUUGGAAGAAUCUGUUACAUGGAUUAUAAAAUUCACUGUUUUAAGUCUGUUUAAUUUAUUCAGCUUUGUACUUCAUUCUUUUCAGGACCUUCUUUUCUCCAUUAAUGAAUGCAUUGGAACAACAACAAAAAUAAAACUUUGUUGUCUCCAGUAAUGGUACACUUUAAACAAA
Long non-coding RNA from Meleagris gallopavo (turkey), 845 nucleotides. RefSeq lists it as uncharacterized. The record is from RefSeq and is a predicted model, not a curated record. Lineage: Eukaryota; Metazoa; Chordata; Aves; Galliformes; Phasianidae.